UGUAGUUUUAGUAGAGAUGGGGUUUCACCAUGUUGGCCAGGCUGGUCUUCAGUUCCUGACCUCAGGUGAUCUGCCCGCCUGGGGCUCUCAAUGUGUUGGAAUUACAGGUGUGAGCCACCGCACCCAGCCCCAUGAUACAUUAUUGAUGUGUGAGGACUCAAUGCGUUAAUUUCUUAAGGUAGCAAAACAGAAUUGAACACUUUCCCGGGUGUGGCCAUUACCUUUUAGAUUCUUCUUGCAUUUCUUCUGCAAAACCUUAUUGCAGGCAUAUUUUUUAACUAUGUCUUUCAAUGAUAUAAUUAACCCUUUGAGAGCAGUGUUUUAAAGUAUUAAUUUUUGUAUCCCCAGAACAUGAGACAGUUCCAGCACAUUGGAGAACUUUAGAUUUUUUUUCCCACAAAUCAAUAAAUUAAUACAUGGUUAAGGUACUUUUGUGAUUUGUUCUCCCACAGGAUAUAAUGCCAAAUAAAGGACAGAGUAGGUAUGCUGUGUGACAUUUUUUCUUUGAGUAUCAAUAGUGAACCUGACAAGAUAUUAGAUCCCAAACAUUGCAUAGUGUUUGUUGUAGUCACUGUAAAAUGAACACAGAAUGUACUUUUUCAGGGAUCAGUGUCGCUCAAGGAUGUGACUGUGGGCUUCACCAGGAGGAGUGGUAGCAUCUGGGCCCUAUUGAGAGGACCCUGUACAUGAAUGUAAUGCUGGAGAACUACAGCCUCCUCAUCUCUGUGGGGUAUUGCAUUAGCAAGCCAAAGGUGGUCUUUAAGUUGCAGCGAGGAGAGGAGGCAUGGAUAUUAGAGGAAGAGUCCUCAAGCCAAAGCCACUUUGACAGGGUCUUGCUCUGCCACUCAGGCUGGAGUACAAUGGUGCAGUCACCAUUUACAAUAGCAUUAAAAAAAUUAAGAUACUUCAGAGUAUAUUUAACCAAAUGAGGCAAGACUUGUACACUGAAACUACAAAACAUUGUUGAAAGAAACUAAAUACUACAAUGUGUGGCGAUUCCUCAAGGAUCUAGAACUAGAAGUACCAUUUGACCCAGCCAUCCCAUUACUGGGUAUAUACCCAAAGGAUUAUAAAUCAUGCUGCUAUAAAGACACAUGCACACGUAUGUUUAUUGCGGCACUAUUCACAAUAGCAAAGACUUGGAACCAACCCAAAUGUCUGUCAAUGAUAGACUGGAUUAAGAAAAUUUGGCACACAUACACCAUGGAAUACUAUGCAGCCAUAAAAAAGGAUGAGUUCAUGUCUUUUGUAGGGACAUGGAUGAAGCUGGAAACCAUCAUUCUCAGCAAACUAUUGCAAGAACAGAAAACCAAACACCGCAUAUUCUCACUCAUAGGUGGGAAUUGAACAAUGAGAACACUUGGACACAGGAAGGGGAACAUCACACACUGGGGCCUGUCGUGGGGUGGGGGGAGGUUGGAGGGAUAGCAUCAGGAGAUAUACCUAAUGUAAAUGAUGAGUUAAUGGGUGCAGCACACCAACAUGGCACAUGUAUACAUAUGUAACAAACCUGCACAUUGUGCACAUGUACCCUAGAACUUAAAGUAUAAUAAAAAAAAGAAACUAAAUACCUAAAUAACUCAUUAUUCACGUUUGUGCUGGUGCUGUUCUAAAUCUACUGCACUGACGUCCUAAAAAGUAUAGCACAUACAAUGAUGUAUCAUACAUAAUACUUGAUGAUGAUAAUAAAUGCCUAUGUUACUGG
This is a long non-coding RNA of Gorilla gorilla gorilla (western lowland gorilla), 1705 nucleotides long. RefSeq lists it as uncharacterized. The transcript has 3 exons. The record is from RefSeq and is a predicted model, not a curated record. NCBI's taxonomy places the organism in Eukaryota, Metazoa, Chordata, Mammalia, Primates, Hominidae.